AGUACGAGAUAUUGCUGUUGAAAAAGAACGCUUUACUAAGUGCCGAAGUCAAAUUAGCUGCAGGAUCGAGGGAUUUACAAUCAGUAUGAUCAGGUGCUCAUCGCUGGCGGCUUAUUUGCAUGUGGGGCAAUGAUCGCACCAGCGUUCGGCGAGGAUGGCUGGAAUCGCGGAAAACUCAUCCCAUCGGCGACUUACACAAUCGGAAACCACAUCAAAAUUUCUCAUAACGGACUGACGAUUGGGCUGCCUAGAUUCGGCCUGUUUAAUCGUCACGGCCAUAAACAUGAAAAGGUCAUCGUAAACAACCACCAUCACUAUGUCGUCCCAUGGCCAGUCCAUGACCCUUGGUGGUGAAGGGCAACCACCUACUGAGACAGCCUUUGUCACGUUACAAGGGUGCUCCUAAAGCUGCCGCUAAACGAUACGUCUGCUUGUCCCAUGGCUGAAUGCGAGGGUCGAUCAUAGACAAGAUAAGGUGUUGUGUUUAAAACACAUAUACGAAAAAAAAGCGACGAAAAACGUAAGCGAGAGGGAAACUACGAUAACGCACUAUGGACAUUGUAAUUAAGUUAUCUACUUAUCUAGGUUCAAUCAUUUGUACACAUGAAACGGAGCUUUGCCUCCUCGCCUCCUGUAGCAGCGCAAUAAGCUCUCUGCUCAGUUCUGUAUAUUUAUUGUAGGUGUUUCGGUUUCUAAGAUGAAUUUAUCUCUCAUCUAUUGUAAUAAACGGUAUUUUACUGUUUGUACAUCUGUGCAUUUUCUCUAAAUUAUAUCUUAUACACGAUCAGCAAGUUUAGAUUGACAUUAUUAGCCGUUAACGACUACGUUCAAAAGUUUUAGCUGUUUCGAAGGAAAAGAAGUAAGGAUUUUUACCUCCAGAUGCUUGAAAGUUGAACUUAUA
Molecule: long non-coding RNA, 901 nt
Filed under: Varroa destructor (honeybee mite)
Lineage: Eukaryota; Metazoa; Arthropoda; Arachnida; Mesostigmata; Varroidae
Description: uncharacterized LOC111244725, transcript variant X3
Source: RNAcentral